GUGGAUUAGAUACCCUGGUAGUCCACGCCGUAAACGAUGAGCACUAGUUGUUGGGUACGAAUGUAUUCAGUGACGCAGUUAACGCAAUAAGUGCUCCGCCUGGGGAGUACGGUGGCAACACUAAAACUCAAAGGAAUUGACGGGGACCCGCACAAGCAGCGGAGCAUGUGGUUUAAUUCGAAGCAACGCGAAAAACCUUACCAGGGCUUGACAUCCCUCUGACCGGAUCCUAACCGAUCCUUUCUUCGGACAGAGGUGACAGGUGGUGCACGGCCGUCGUCAACU
RNAcentral lists this ribosomal RNA (285 nucleotides) under uncultured bacterium. RNAcentral's name for it is "partial 16S ribosomal RNA". It matches the Rfam family "Bacterial small subunit ribosomal RNA", at positions 773 to 1060 of the family's 1533-position model. The record is from RNAcentral.